UUUUGAUUUAAAAAUUAUACUUGAGUAGUAAUAGAUAUGGUCUUGAAACUUAAAGAAUUUGGCGGUAUUUUAGUCUUUUUAGAGGAAUCUGUCCCGUAAUUGAUAAUCCACAUUGAACCUUACUUGAUUUAAUUUAAAUUUGUAUACCGCUGUUUAUUGAAAAUCUUUUUAGAGUAAAUUUUCUUGAUAUUUUAUUAUAUAAUAUUUCAGGUCAAGGUGCAGUUUAUAAUCAAGGGGAGAUGGAUUACAAUAUUUGAAAAUAAAUGGAUUAUAAAUUGAAAUUUUUAUAUGAAGGUGGAUUUAAUAGUAAUUAUUUAUAUAUUAUUAUUUUGAUUUUGGCUCUAAAAUGUGU
RNAcentral lists this ribosomal RNA (352 nucleotides) under Epilampra taira. Its description in RNAcentral is "partial 12S ribosomal RNA". The record is from RNAcentral. Lineage: Eukaryota; Metazoa; Arthropoda; Insecta; Blattodea; Blaberidae.